This 374-nucleotide long non-coding RNA is filed under the name Phasianus colchicus (ring-necked pheasant). Its description in RNAcentral is "lncRNA (ENSPCLG00000021455.1)". Lineage: Eukaryota; Metazoa; Chordata; Aves; Galliformes; Phasianidae. The record is from RNAcentral.
AGGCAGUCUGCUGCUAUUCUGGGAGGUCUCCUGAUAAUUAAACUUUCAACAUUUCCAUGAUGAAAAGCUGCACUGAAAAUCAAUGUUCAGUUGAUAUUGAUGCACACAGGGAAGACAGAAGCCUUGGAUAGGUCUACAGAACCAAGCUGUGAAUGCCUUGUACCACCUUUCUGGGAAAAGUGCUGCAAGACUGAACCACCAUCCCUCAGUUCUCAUCCUUUAAUCUUAUGCCUGGCUACAGGAACUGAAGGAAAACAGAAUGAUGAGAAAAUGUGAAGGAGAUGACCACCAAUUUCCUUCCAUUGCUAAAUUACUAAUUUAUAUGAAGAAGCAUUAUGAAAAUUAAGUAUGUAUCACACACUUCCCUAAAAUUU